CGAUGGAUUUUCAUGUUCAUAUUUCUUCACAAAUAAAUGGCAGGUUACAAUUUUCACCAUACACUCAGCUGCCUGCAUCUACUUUUAUCUAGCUGCACACUAUAAAACACCAGAGGAUACAUGGAUUGGAGUUCAGGUCAAUGAUUUUAAAGAUAGAACCAUCUGGCUAGGCUACACAUACUCCAUGUACUGGUCAAUUGUCACACUCACCACAACUGGCUAUGGAGAUCUACAUGCAGUCAACAUGGGAGAGAAAAUAUUUAACAUGUUCUACAUGCUCUUCAACAUUGGACUCACUGCUUACAUUAUUGGAAACAUGACAAAUCUUGUUGUCCACAGCGCAACCCGAACUUUCUUCAUGGUAGUUGAAUUCUUCUUUUUCAUUGUUGUUUCCACCUGAAAUUAUCAACAGCUGCAAAACAAUGAUGUUACAUCACAUUUGAUGAAACAUCUCAAUUUAAUAUCUAAAACCUGAUUUUCUUCUGGUAACAAGNN
RNAcentral lists this long non-coding RNA (495 nucleotides) under Carica papaya (papaya). RNAcentral describes it as "long non-coding RNA (CPAP_LNC004502)". Lineage: Eukaryota; Viridiplantae; Streptophyta; Magnoliopsida; Brassicales; Caricaceae. The record is from RNAcentral.